This 399-nucleotide unclassified non-coding RNA is filed under the name plant metagenome. RNAcentral describes it as "partial contains 5.8S ribosomal RNA, internal transcribed spacer 2, and large subunit ribosomal RNA". The record is from RNAcentral.
AGAGUCGCUUCACCUCCGCGGCCGGACGUCCGCGGCACCGUGCUGGCCGUGAACCAGGAUUACAACUUCGUCGUGCUCAAUCUCGGCGGCCGGCAGGGCAUUCAAGCCAACACCGAAAUGCUCGUGCUCCGCGGCGGCACCUUGAUCGGCAAAAUUCGUGUCUCGUCAGUUGAACCCGCCACCGCCAUCGGCGAUAUCAUCACCAACAGCCUCGCGCGUGGCGUGCGGGUGCAGCCUGGAGAUGUCGUUAUUUAUGCUGGCAGCAAUUCGUAAUCACUGCGUCGCUCGUGCCGCGAAGCUCGCGCUCCUCCUCGGCCUCGCCGCCGGUUUCGCCUCCUGCGCGACGAAGGAAAAGAAGCCUCAGCUUCUCUCCAGCGGCCCCGAGGAGUCGCAGCUUCC